CAUUUCCCAAUAUCGGUGAACAUCUGGCUCCUCCUCCAACUCAAAGACGUUGUCCUCAGGCCCCGUCCGUUGUUUCCCUCCAAACCAUCUCUGAGCAACUUGCCUCUUUGUCCACAUCCAUGACUCGUAUUUAUAGGAAUGUCACCCGAUUAUCCCACGAGCUUCAUGGAUAUUUUGACCACGUUCGCUAUCCCUAUGCCCAAGUUGCCCUUCCGGAAGAAGUGCCGGAUGCCGAGGCGGAUGUUAAUGUUGACAAUGAAUAAUGUCUUGUCUACUUUUUUCUUGCUUCCAUUAUGUAUCGUUUGAAUAAUAUUUUGUCUAUUUUUCUUGCUCUAUUAUGUAUUUUCAAUAUUGUUUCCUCAAUAAAAGUUUCUUAUUUUUUUGCUAAUGUCAAAAGGGGGAAGAAUAAGGGCUAUACACACUAAUACAUAUUGGCAUAAAUUAAGGGGGAAUUCAUAAAUUGAGGGGGAACUCAUUC
This 478-nucleotide long non-coding RNA is filed under the name Nicotiana benthamiana. Its description in RNAcentral is "long non-coding RNA (NBEN_LNC017690)". Lineage: Eukaryota; Viridiplantae; Streptophyta; Magnoliopsida; Solanales; Solanaceae. The record is from RNAcentral.